RNAcentral lists this ribosomal RNA (486 nucleotides) under uncultured bacterium. Its description in RNAcentral is "partial 16S ribosomal RNA". It matches the Rfam family "Bacterial small subunit ribosomal RNA", at positions 30 to 507 of the family's 1533-position model. The record is from RNAcentral.
AUUGAACGCUGGCGGCAUGCCUUACACAUGCAAGUCGAACGGCAGCACGGGUGCUUGCACCUGGUGGCGAGUGGCGAACGGGUGAGUAAUACAUCGGAACAUGUCCUGUAGUGGGGGAUAGCCCGGCGAAAGCCGGAUUAAUACCGCAUACGAUCUACGGAUGAAAGCGGGGGACCUUCGGGCCUCGCGCUAUAGGGUUGGCCGAUGGCUGAUUAGCUAGUUGGUGGGGUAAAGGCCUACCAAGGCGACGAUCAGUAGCUGGUCUGAGGGGACGACCAGCCACACUGGGACUGAGACACGGCCCAGACUCCUACGGGAGGCAGCAGUGGGGAAUUUUGGACAAUAGGCGAAAGCCUGAUCCAGCAAUGCCGCGUGUGUGAAGAAGGCCUUCGGGUUGUAAAGCACUUUUGUCCGGAAAGAAAUCCUUGGCCCUAAUACGGUCGGGGGAUGACGGUACCGGAAGAAUAAGCACCGGCUAACUACGUG